Molecule: ribosomal RNA, 433 nt
Filed under: uncultured bacterium
Lineage: Bacteria
Description: partial 16S ribosomal RNA
Rfam family: Bacterial small subunit ribosomal RNA
Source: RNAcentral
AACGAACGCUGGCGGCAUGCCUAACACAUGCAAGUCGAACGAGACCUUCGGGUCUAGUGGCGCACGGGUGCGUAACGCGUGGGAACCUGCCCUUAGGUUCGGAAUAACUCCCCGAAAGGGGUGCUAAUACCGGAUAAUGUCUUCGGACCAAAGAUUUAUCGCCUUUGGAUGGGCCCGCGUUGGAUUAGCUAGUUGGUAGGGUAAAAGCCUACCACGGCGACGAUCCAUAGCUGGUCUGAGAGGAUGAUCAGCCACACUGGGACUGAGACACGGCCGAGACUCCUACGGGAGGCAGCAGUGGGGAAUAUUGGACAAUGGGCGAAAGCCUGAUCCAGCAAUGCCGCGUGAGUGAUGAAGGCCUUAGGGUUGUAAAGCUCUUUUACCCGGGAUGAUAAUGACAGUACCGGGAGAAUAAGCUCCGGCUAACUCCGUG